This 474-nucleotide ribosomal RNA is filed under the name uncultured organism. Its description in RNAcentral is "partial 16S ribosomal RNA". It matches the Rfam family "Bacterial small subunit ribosomal RNA", at positions 335 to 800 of the family's 1533-position model. The record is from RNAcentral.
ACUCCUGCGGGAGGCAGCAGUGGGGAAUUUUGGACAAUGGGCGAAAGCCUGAUCCAGCCAUGCCGCGUGCAGGAUGAAGGCCUUCGGGUUGUAAACUGCUUUUGUACGGAACGAAACGGCCUUUUCUAAUAAAGAGGGCUAAUGACGGUACCGUAAGAAUAAGCACCGGCUAACUACGUGCCAGCAGCCGCGGUAAUACGUAGGGUGCAAGCGUUAAUCGGAAUUACUGGGCGUAAAGCGUGCGCAGGCGGUUAUGUAAGACAGUUGUGAAAUCCCCGGGCUCAACCUGGGAACUGCAUCUGUGACUGCAUAGCUAGAGUACGGUAGAGGGGGAUGGAAUUCCGCGUGUAGCAGUGAAAUGCGUAGAUAUGCGGAGGAACACCGAUGGCGAAGGCAAUCCCCUGGACCUGUACUGACGCUCAUGCACGAAAGCGUGGGGAGCAAACAGGAUUAGAAACCCGAGUAGUCCCAUGA